Molecule: long non-coding RNA, 1765 nt
Filed under: Lepisosteus oculatus (spotted gar)
Lineage: Eukaryota; Metazoa; Chordata; Actinopteri; Semionotiformes; Lepisosteidae
Description: lncRNA (ENSLOCG00000021427.1)
Source: RNAcentral
CUGGGGGGCAAAGGCCACCAUUUUUCUCAGCCAUCUGACACUCGAGGUGGAGGUGAUGUGGUCCAGCCUAUUACCCCCAGAAGGGUUAACCCCCAGCAUUCCUUUGGAAAGCAGGGUGAGUGGACCUGGGAGCCGUCUGGAAGGAAUUGGAGCAAGCUCCAUCGCCUGCCUCCACGUGGGAUUGAGCUCAGCCUUCCGGUCAGGAGCCAGACGCCCUGCUGCCUGAGCUACCACUUCUCUGGGAGGUCCUGGACUAAAAAUAAUCUUGCGUGCAGGGGCCUGUGAACUGAAGGGACCGAAUCUCUAACGCGAGAUAAGAGGUUAAAAAAGUAUACUAAGGCCCUUCCUUUCACAAAGGGUGGCAGGUGUCUGGAACUACACUGUACACCGCGCUGCUGAAUUGGAUUCCUUUGGAUGGCGCUAGAGAGGUGGCCAGAAGCAGAGAGACAGAAACGCCACACUGCGGUACUGGAGUCUCUUCAGAAGUGUGUUUUUUUUGCUACCUGCUGCCUCCAUUCUGCUGCUUAAUCAAGGAGCAGACACGAUGGCGCCCCCCCCCACAACUCAAACACACACUUCAGAGGAAUGCCAGCUGUGUCUCAUGUAAGCCCCCUGGAGCUGAGUGGGCUCCCCAGUGCUGGUGCUGGAGGGGUGGAGUGAAACCCAGGCAUGUAGGCAUAUGGAGAGAGACAGGUUAUUCCGUGAGCUCUCCAGAGGGAGGCACAGAGAGGAAACAUGGGAGCAACAGCCUCACCAACAGCCCCCAAAACUGGAGAAGAACCCAGGACAGUAAUCCAGUUACUACACUACAAUCCAGUAAUCUAGUGGACUACACUGACACAGCACCAGCAACGCCUGCAGUAUAGCAACAAUGACAAGGGCACCACAGACCGGAGCAGAAUCAGGGGCUUUAGACUGUCACUGUCCAUGUGGACUACACUGACACAGCACCAGCAACAAUGACAACAGCAACAGCAUCAACCACUGCAACCCAGACAGCAACAGUACCACCCCAGCAACGGCAGAGGUAAAGAGCCACAACAACGCAGCAUCAACAGCAGUAAAACCCUGAAAACAACAGCAGCGAUAUUAACGGCAGCAACAACCUCAGCCUCUAGCCCAGCGAUGUCUCUAGAGACGCUCCCCUGUCUGCUGGGCCCGCCAGCCUCGGUGUUCAAAACAGGAAAGCUGGUGUUUAAUAAUUUGUGCUCAGGGUAAAAAAUGGAUGGGUCACUGAUAUAAAGAAAUAAAUAUCAAAGUAAAUACAAGUUGAAGAUAAAGAGAACUAAGAUAAAUAAGUUAAAAGUAAGAAUAGAUAAAUCCACCUUGAUUUUUAAUCUAUAGAGAAAAUAUUAUGCAUAUGAUAGAACUCCCACUGCAUGUACCUGUUCAGUACAUUAGACAGACAGAGAUGGGGAGAGAGAUAGGCAGAGACAGACAAUAAAUCACUUUUUUGGUCCGUUAACAGAUUGUCAGAUAAAAUGUAUUUACAGCACAUUCAUUCUUUAAAAAAGCAAUAAAAAAGCUCCAUUAUGGAACAAACCAAAAACACAUUAAGCCUGCAGAGCUACUGCAAGGAUACUUCUCUUUUAUCACCUCCAGGGUUUAAUAAGGGCUGCAGAAAUGGUGUCUGGCUGUUGUCAGCUUGCAUGCAGGGGGUUCCCCUGCAGCCCGUGCUGUGAAAGACAGACAACCAGGUGAAAGAGUGAGGGAGACAGAGGAGGAGAGUGAAAUAGAAAGAGGAAGACAGGGAGAGGGAGAGAGA